Molecule: long non-coding RNA, 171 nt
Organism: Coregonus clupeaformis (lake whitefish)
Lineage: Eukaryota; Metazoa; Chordata; Actinopteri; Salmoniformes; Salmonidae
Exons: 4
Source: RefSeq, a predicted model, not a curated record
CAGUGAUGAAUUUGCCUAUGAAAGUGUUGCAGGUGAUGAGAUUGAGACAUAAAACAACUUGGACAAUGCCAUAUACCAAGAAAUUCAGAUGCAGCAAAUCAAGGCCCAGAUGCAGAAGUUGUGUAUGCCAAAUCAUGGAUGUCAUCAAUACAUGUCUUAAUCAUGAGUGGA